This 275-nucleotide ribosomal RNA is filed under the name uncultured Ohtaekwangia sp. Its description in RNAcentral is "partial 16S ribosomal RNA". It matches the Rfam family "Bacterial small subunit ribosomal RNA", at positions 338 to 611 of the family's 1533-position model. The record is from RNAcentral. Lineage: Bacteria; Pseudomonadati; Bacteroidota; Cytophagia; Cytophagales; Fulvivirgaceae.
CCUACGGGGGGCUGCAGUAGGGAAUAUUGGUCAAUGGAUGAAAGUCUGAACCAGCCAUGCCGCGUGCAGGAAGAAGGCGUUAUGCGUUGUAAACUGCUUUUGCCAGGGGAUAAAAUGACCGUGCGCGGUUAAUUGAAGGUACCUGGUGAAUAAGCCACGGCUAACUACGUGCCAGCAGCCGCGGUAAUACGUAGGUGGCAAGCGUUGUCCGGAUUUAUUGGGUUUAAAGGGUGCGUAGGUGGCCCUGUAAGUCAGUGGUGAAAUAUCUCAGCUUA